This 377-nucleotide ribosomal RNA is filed under the name uncultured bacterium. Its description in RNAcentral is "bacterial SSU rRNA". It matches the Rfam family "Bacterial small subunit ribosomal RNA", at positions 523 to 898 of the family's 1533-position model. The record is from RNAcentral.
AUACGUAGGGGGCAAGCGUUGUCCGGAAUUAUUGGGCGUAAAGCGCGCGCAGGCGGUCUCCUAAGUCUGAUGUGAAAGCCCACGGCUCAACCGUGGAGGGUCAUUGGAAACUGGGAGACUUGAGUGUAGGAGAGGAAAGCGGAAUUCCACGUGUAGCGGUGAAAUGCGUAGAGAUGUGGAGGAACACCAGUGGCGAAGGCGGCUUUCUGGCCUAUAACUGACGCUGAGGCGCGAAAGCGUGGGGAGCAAACAGGAUUAGAUACCCUGGUAGUCCACGCCGUAAACGAUGAGUGCUAGGUGUUAGGGGUUUUUACACCCUUAGUGCCGUCGUUAACACAUUAAGCACUCCGCCUGGGGAGUACGGCCGCAAGGCUGAA